RNAcentral lists this long non-coding RNA (17322 nucleotides) under Malus domestica (apple). RNAcentral describes it as "long non-coding RNA (MDOM_LNC006980)". The stretch from base 2198 to 2281 matches the Rfam family "tRNA". The record is from RNAcentral. Lineage: Eukaryota; Viridiplantae; Streptophyta; Magnoliopsida; Rosales; Rosaceae.
AAGCAACAAGAAGUGAGACGAAUCCAUACAAAUCAAUAACUGAUCAUAUAUCAUCAAGUAGGAUCUUGAAAAUCCAGUCGUUUUAGGUAAAAAGCAUUCCACAUUACAGCAACUGGAGACCCACACACAUGAUCCUCCCCCCUCCUUCCCCAAAAGAUAAAAAAUAAGUUGGCCAAGGCUAGUGAGAAACAGUUAAAAGAAUGAAGAAUAUCAACCAGAAAAAACUCUCCAACCCUAUAUUGCUCUGUUCUUUCUUUUUCUCAAACACAAGUAGUACCACAGAAGGGACCUUUCCUCUGUUGGCUAUACACAUUUCCUACAGAUUCUACAAAUCCUUUCCGUGUGCGUCGUUAAGUGAGGUUUAUGACUUACAACACCACAUCCUUUCUGGUGAAAGUACAACCGAGAGUCGAGCGUGAUCAGAGAGAGUAUAAUCUUCGGGCCAUAUUCCCUUCUCCGCCUCACGGGGAUAUAGAACUGCAUUCUUCACAUUGAAUCCCAGGGAGUCCUGCAUGCCUCGUUUGGACUCCUCUCUACUACCGUUGAGACUUUCCUUAUCCUCUGACGCUGUUGAACUCCAAAUUCUAUUCUGCAAUGCCAAGGGUUUUAGACACGUGAUUUUAAUCUUGUAGUACUUUGGAAGGACUAUUACAUGACGGCAAUGCUAAUGUAAUUCAAAAGGAAAAUAAAUGAAAUUAUUAUGGAUGUAAUGUACCUUAAAUUCUUCGUAAUCAAGAACACCAUUUGCAUCGGCGUCUGCCUGGAUCCAGAGAUCCCUUGUCUCCUGGAAACCUAGUCCCGCAGGAUGACCAAUUAAAUUAACCUGCAAUAUACCUACAUGAGCAAGUCUUAUCUUUCCAUUUGAACUUUAUACAGCUUAAUAGCUAAUAGAACCAACCUGUUGUAGUGCUUCACAGAAAGCUGAGGACGUAAUAAAAUCACCAUGACUAUCACCCUUCAGAAAGGCAAAUGCAUCAUUUUCAGCCAUCGAAGCUUUUCGAAGCUGGCGCUGAAAACCCCAAAAGGAAAAAGGAAGUUAAAUGAUUGCAUGUAGAAACUGUCUAGAGCUUGCAUGCCCUAUAAUAUAAAGGAUCCAAGCAUCUUUUCAAAAGUUUUGAACAAAGCUUUCUGUGCACAAUAUAUCUGAUGAACUACGAUUCUUGCCCUCUGUGGCAAGGUAUCAGAUAGUAGGUAGAGAAAAUGUGAACGGAUGAGUAUUAAUGACAAUAAUAUAGAAUAUGUAAACCGAAUUGCUUACCCGUAAUAUUCAAAAACAGCUUCGCACCAACUAGUCUUUAGUGGUUUUCGUGACUUAUUGACGGCAACGAAAUGCAGCUGCCGCUGUAGCUUCUUGAAAGACUCUCACUUUCUCUGCGAUUAAUCUUUGCCACAUUAGAACCCGCACUUAAACCCUGCAACGACUCAAAAUUUUCAGUAUCCAUUAUCCAAUAAACGAUUUCCUAAGUACCCAUUUUCUCAGAAACCAAAUUCAUGGAAGAAAAGCAGAAGCAAUUGAGAGAAAGAAGAAAGAGACACUAUUUGUUAUAAGUUGAAAUUUUUCGUUGCAGAAAAAUAUAUACCCCACCGGGUGGCCGGGAACUCAUGACACUUACGUUGGGGGGCUUGUGCAUCACAUUUAAUGUGACAAAAAUGUAAAUAUUCAUAUGCUUAUAAAUAUCUUGGCCCACAAAUUGAGGCGUAAUCUUUUUAAGUAUCAAUUUUGAAUGGUAAUGCAGGUCUCCUUCAAACCAUUUUUGACCAAGCAAAAUUUUUGAGGCUGGUUGUGUGGGCUUUAAAGUUACGUAAUACAACCUUUGAACUAGGCUUGUAAACGGGUUGAGUUUAUCAGGUUUGGGUCGAGUUCAAUCUGACCCGUUAAGUUAACAGGUCAUCCAAACUCGACCCAUUAAGCUAAUGGAUCACCCGUUAACAAUUAUUAUUAUUAUUAUUUUACAUAGAGUUUAUUUUUUGUUGUUAAGAUUUUACUGAAAUUAUUAAAAUAUCCUCAACUAACGGGUUGACCCAAAGUGAUCCGUUAGUUAACGGGUUCACCUGUUAGCAACCCGACCCGUCAAGCAUCCACCCAAAUACUAAUAUUAACGGGUCGGGUACAAAAUGCCAGGUCUGCUGUGAACAAGACCCAUACAUUUUGCAUAUUCCGUUUAAAUAUUACGUAACACAACUUUAGAACAACAUUGGGGUGGUGGCGCAGUUGGCUUGCGCGUAGGUCUCAUAGCUUCUGGUGAUCCUGAGGGCGAGAGUUCAAGCCUUUCUCACCCCCAUUUCUUUUUAUCUUUUGCCAUUAUAGGAAAACAAAAACAUUUUAAAUUUCAACUUCUAACAACACGAACAUAGUCUAGUAUUAUUUAUCUUUCAUAAUUUUAAAUGAUAUCUCAAAAGUUCGAAUUUCCAUAUGAUUUUUUUAACAUCUCAACUUCUAACUUCUAACACUAUCAUGGUCUAACAGUAUUUAUCUUUUACAUUUUAAGAAAAUAUCUCAAGAGUUCGAAUCCCCGCUCCCCAAAUGAUUAAACAAAAAAAAAAUAUAUACCGUACUGAGAUUCCAGUACCAGCCAUAAAUCAUUACAUCUGAUCCGUAGAAACAGAAACAUGUCAAACUCCAUAGGCUAUGCCAAAUGUAAACAUUUCAUCACUGCAGAACAUGGCUGGUACUCCCACAUUUUAUAGCAAUAAGCAACCACUAAGUCUGGCAUUACUUUUUGUGUGACGCUCAUCUAGCACCACUGCCCGUAUAAACCUUCUUCCCAAGCAAAAACAAAGAACAAUAUCGCACCUAGAAGUAGAACCGUGUUGAAAAGGUAUACUGAUGGGGGACCUGUUAAUGGGGGGGAAGUUUCCCCGGAAAUGCAAGAACAGCUCAUCCAAUUGCCGGCGGUGGUUGCAUUGUGUGUCUGCUUCAAACCCUUUUCUGUAUUAUUGCCUUGAACCGCCUCUGCGUCUUUGUUAGAUUCUGUUAUAAAGUUCCUCUUCGGGGGGGAAAUCAACAGCAGCUCGACGCUCUGCAGCUACUUUGGCCUGCAAAAAUAAACCAGAUUAAGUUGUGGAAAUAGCCUCUCCAAAGAAACAUUAUUCAUGUUCUCCGUGCUGCAGUUUGGGUUCUCUCACUCACCUUGCUUUGCUGCUGUUCUAAUUCAUUAGGUUUGCCUAGUGCUAAGAGGGCACUUGUUGGAUAUGUUCUUCUGCGUGUUCUCUCACUGUUAUAGUAUUCGUCGGAGGCUAACUGAAUAGAGUUAAUCUGAAGGCUAACUGCAUCUACAUCCACAGAGGAAGCACUCUUUAAUUUUAAGGCAUUAAUGGGUCUUGAUGCACGUCGCAGCCUGCUUGUUAUUUGGUGUGUACCAGAAUCUUCAUCACUGAUUGAUUGAAGACGAUCAGUCUGAGGUUUAGGUAACACAUUGAUAGAGGAAGCAGCCUGUCCUAAGGUCUGGUUACGAAGCAUAACACCUUCCUCUCUUCCGAAGUGGCUCGAACUAGCUUGUGGCACACCAAGCAUUUGUAAACUCGGGCCCUAAAAAAUAAUAAUAAUCAGAAAAUAUGAGCAAGUUUCCAAAGUUGAGCGAAGUUCUAGCAUUUGACCUGUGGAAACCAUAACACAUUGACAAAAUUUGAUUUUAAGAUUCUAUGGGAGAAAGAUUUUUUACCUGUGCAGCUUGAUGUUGUACUUCUGUGUCUGAGUCACUGCUCACUCCACAAUCCGGUAAAUACACCUUCCUAGGUGACUGUGGCAGAGUGGAGUCGUUAAAGACGUUAUUGUGAGUUAUUUCUUCACUGUAACCCUGAUACGGGUCAUCCCCAAAAAGUCCAUUUACGAACUCUUCCAAAUUUUCAUCCAUUCCAUGGUAAUCAUUAUUACCACGCGUAUUUCCAAGCAUAAGAUCCAAUUCCCUCUGAAAAAUGUCCGGAUUUGGUGGUGGCUGAGUACGUUCCUGCAUAGUGAACAACAAGCAAGCAAAGGUUUUGGAUCUGUUUCUUUUGCUCCGAGUAUAUAUAUAUAUAUAUGAAGAAGUUUUAAUCACCAUUCGUGCUCGACAUUCUCACCUCUUCAACAUGCAUAUUACGUGCUGGUUGCAGUUGAUUUUCAAAGUCAGGUGCAUUGUUGUAAUUACUAGAUUCGCCUUCAUCACCGGUUGCAACAUCCGUGUUCUUACCUGAUUUCUUCUUUACGUAACAGAGAACGAAAUCCCUCUGCAAAUAAGUUGGAAAACCAGUUAUGUAAUGAAGUAGCACCAACAGAAAAUUAAACAAGGUUCCAAACCAAAAGCCACUAAACUUUGCAGAGUUACAGAAGAAGCCAAUUUGGCUAGAAGCCGAAUAGACUUGAGUUUCACAACCAAAACCCCUCCAGCCUCCGGUUUACAACUUGCCUCAUACAAUGCUGCAAAUUGCACAUCAUAUAUCGAUAACAAUAUUAACAAGAACCUGAAAAUAGAAAGAGAAUGAUGACCUGAUUAGCAUUAGGAGUGAUUUGAGGGAUGGAAAACUCAUGCAUGACCCAGUUGGUAAUUGGGGCAUUACGACCGCGACCUUGGCGAAAUGUCAGAAUCCUCUUUUUACCGAUAAUUUUGUUGUCUCGAGCCUUGACUAUUUUUUCCUUCCCGGUGCUCUUCCAGAAGCCUGUGGCCGUCGCCCUUUCAACUUCGUUUCUGCUGUUUUUUUUGUAAAUUGGUCGGUUGUAGAAGUACCAUUCAUCAUCCGACUUUAUCAGUGAAAUCUCUGCAUAAAACACAACAUUUGGAUUAAACCAAUUGCAUACACAUUUUUAGACUCAUUCAAAUGCAAACUAAAAUGUAUCAGUAAAAGUGAAGAGUGUUGAGUGCUGAAAUCUCUGACCUUCGUAAAACGGUCACUCGAGAUAAAAAAAUAGUAACUUUAUGAACUGGGAUUGGUAAUAAGUUACGUUUGGAUUAAACCCAAAUACCAAUGGCAAAUACAGAUUAUCAGACUCAUCGGACUAAGAAAAAUAAUGAAAAUUUAAGACCUGGGGCUUUGCAAAUAAUUACCAGGCAAUUCCCUGGGCUCGUAGUUGCAGAUAUUGAUUUCACGGAUGGCGUCGCUGACGAGGGAAUCCUUUCCCCGGAGCUUCAACUUCAAGUAAUGGCUGAUCAGCUCUUCUUCUGUGGGGUGGAAUCGGUAUCCCACUGGCAGUAACAGGCCUUCUACUUCUACUCUAGUGAAGCGGAUUCCAUUGGAAGCCAUCCUCUUUCAUGAAGGAGAAGGGGAAUGCUGGCUGGGUUUUUGUAGGAUUAAGAAAACAAGAGAAACAGUACGGAAAUUGACUUGGUGUUGAUCAAGUCUUCGUGGUUUUCAGCGGACGCUUUUUGCUUAUGGAAGUAACUAUUAAGCUUCGGCUUCUGCUUUUACAUGGUGCGGUGGGGAAUUUUUGUUGUCGUGACUUUUGGUGGGACCCCGGGGAAUCCUACGUGUGGAACUGUUUGCCGUAUGUAUGGCUGGGUGGGUGUGCUUCCUCGGAGAGGACUGAAAAGCUACAGGGAUCAUGAGAAAAUUUUGUAUCCCCUUUUGUCAAUCCAAGAUUAAAUGAGGGUAGGUGUAGGAUAAAGAGUCGAUAAGGUAGAACGAGAAAGUCUAAUUGAGAAAAUCGGUAGCAUUCUCAUGGAGUUAUUUCCAAUUAAAAUAGAUCUCCAUAUAUUGUCACUGUAGACAUCGAAAUUUCGGUAAAUAAAUGUUGACCGAUAAAUCAAAGUGUCAACGCUCAUGUAUUACAUAAAUUUUACACGUAGCGUGUGACUCAAUGAAAAUUGAAAUGAGUUGGAAAAGUCAUCAAAUAGGACACGUGUCAACACCUGGCAGAAACGACUUAUUUCAUCUGGGAUAUUAUAUUCAAAAUUAGGCAUUGGAAAUUUCUAUAAAUAGAAGGCUAAUUCAUUCAUAAGGGGGACCAAUUCAGAUUACACAUUGAAGCUCUGAAGCUCUGAAACUCCGAAGCUCUCAAGCAUCCAGGUUCCCGAAGAAUCAAGAAAGCCUUCUUCGUUCUUCGUUCAUCGCUCUUUCAAGAUCAAGCCCCGACGGCCCUUGAAGAAAGCACCAUCGUUCAUCAUCCGUUCAUCCAAGAUCAAGCCCUAACGGCCAUUUGGAUCAACAAACGUCGACAAAUCCACACAUCCAACCGUUCUUCAAGAUCAAGCCCAAAAGCCCUUGAAGAUCCGUUCAUCACUGUUCUUCAAAGAUCAAACCCAAACACCCUUGAAGAUCCGCUCAUCACCGUUAUUCAAGAUCAAGCCUCAAACGGCCCUUGAAGAAACAUUCAUCCUCAAGAUCAAGCCCCAACGGCUCCUUGAAGAUCCGCUCAAAUCCAACUUCAAAGAUUAAGCCCACGGCCCUUUGAAGAAACUUCCAACUGUUCAUCCAAGAUCAAGCCUCGACGCCCCUUGGAUCAACAAAAUAUCCACAAAUCAACACCUUACGGAGAUCGAAUCAGAGGAUCAAAUUUGAGAGAGAUUGUAACCCAAAAUCAUCAAAUACAAAUAUUUGUUUGUGCGCGUUGUUCUUGUCUCUUUCGUUUCAGGAAUUUUCCGUGUUCACAAAUUGGCACGCCCAGUGGGACAAUCUCUACCUCUCAUCUCUUCCUCCGUUCAAGGAAUAUAAGUACACUUCCAAAAUCAAUGACAUCAAGGAAGGCUCAAGCUGUUCCCAUAACCGGCGCAAAGAACAAAGGCACCCUCGUCGCAAGUGUGUGUCACGUUGGGUAUCACGACUCGAAGCAUGGCAAAAGCUACUUCUGCCGCCUCUUUCACCUCUGCAUCAACUCUGCCAAGGGAACAAAAACACCCAAGGCACGAGCCUUUGAUCACCUUAGCCUCACUAAGGGCACCAAGGGGGGAAAGCCCAAGGAAAUACUCUGAAUCCAUGCUCUCCGAUGCCGAUUCAAGCGACAGUUCAGCCAUGCAAGUCAUGACCAUUGGAGCAACUUCAAUCGAUGAGCAGCUAGCUCAAAUGAAUGAAGCAAUCGCAAGGCUAACCCGAACUGUGGAAGAAAAAGACUUGCAAAUUGCAGCAUUAGUCAACCGACUGGAGGCGCAGGAUGGCGAUAAACCCGACCCAGAGGAUGAUCCACUAAAGGGAGGAGCUGGCGGAGACGAAGAACCCCCAGUGAAGAAAAUCGAUGGGAAGCCGGAGCCAGACCAAGCAGCGGCACUCAUGGGAUCUCUUUCUAUCCAGCAGCUGCAGGAGAUGAUCACCAACACCAUCAAGGCACAGUACGAAGGGAGCUCACAUACCUCCUUGUUCUACUCGAAACCCUAUUCCAAGAAGAUUGAUGCCCUAAGGAUGCCAAGGGGUUAUCAACCACCAAAGUUCAUGCAGUUUGAUGGAAAAGGAAACCCAAAGCAGCACGUUGCACAUUUCGUCGAAACUUGCAACAACGCGGGGACGGAGGGAGACUACCUCGCCAAGCAGUUUGUGCGCUCGCUGAAAGGAAACGUCUUUGAGUGGUACACAGACCUAGAACCUGAGACCAUCAACAGUUGGGAGCAAUUAGAGCGGGAAUUCCUCAACCGCUUCUAUAGCACCCGCCGCACUGUGAGCAUGCUAGAGCUAACAAGCACAAAGCAGUGGAAGGACGAACCAGUCAUUGACUACAUCAACAGAUGGCGCACUCUAAGCCUCGACUGCAAAGACAGGCUCUCGGAAACCUCUUCAAUCGAGAUGUGCAUCCAAGGCAUGCAAUGGGGUUUGCAAUACAUCCUUCAAGGCAUUAAACCACGGACCUUCGAGGAAUUGGCCACCCGCGCCCAUGACAUGGAGUUGAGCAUCGCUCAUCAUGGGAAGAAGGAACCGAUCGCCGACUACAAGAACGACAAAGUUCUUGAGACAAAGGUGGAGAAGGCUGCAUGGAAACCCACCAAGGAAGCAAUGACGGUCAACACAGCUCCCGUCAAGAUCUCCACACGAGGCAAGGCGAUUCAAACCGAAGCUUUUCGUGAUCAAGAGAUGCGUAGACGUACUUUGAAGGAGCUUUAGGAGAAGACUUAUCCAUUCCCCGACUCUGAUGUGGUUGCCAUGUUAGAAGACUUGCUGGAAAAGAAGGUGAUCGGCUUGCCUGAGUACAGACGGCCAGAAGAGAUGAAUCGCACCGACAGUCCAAGGUACUGUAAAUUCCACCGCUUCAUCAGUCAUCCGACAGAAAAGUGCUUCGUGCUGAAAGAUCUCAUCAUGAAGCUGGCUCAAAAAGGAAUCAUCGAGCUAGAUCUUGACGAUGUGGUGGAGUCAAACUAUACCACCUCCACUUUUGGCUCUUCCGACUCAAAGUUUUCACCUCAACCGCUGGGGGCAUCCUCCAAGACAAGCAAAGUUGAAGGAUGGACUCAAGUCACUCCUAAGAAAUUGCACAAGAAGCAUACGUCUCCUCCACAUGUCCGCCAAUUGGAAAGGGGGCAAAGCAGCUCUUGUCAACCUUCAAAGCAACAUGAACGUGUUGAAGAUGAUGAAAUUUUGACACAUAGAUCGUCCAUCCCCAUCACGAUGCGCAAUUUCUUUCCUGAAGACUUCUUCAAUCACUCGGUCAAGGCUCCUUGUUAUGAAGAUUGCGAGGAACGACUCUCUCAGAUCGCUUGACGAACUAAUGCUCCUUGUUCGCACGAGCCUAAACUGCAUGAACCAAAGCUCCUUGUUCGCACGAGCCUAAACUGCACGAACCAACGCUCCUAGUCUGCACGAGCAUAAAAGGCAACACCAACGCUCCUUGUCUGCAUGAGCAUAAAAGGCAACACCAACGCUCCUUGUCCGCACGAGCUUAAAAGGCGACAACAAUUGCUCCUUGCCUGCAUGAGUUGAAACUGCAAAUGGCACCAAAAAGAAAAUACAAAAAAAUAUCUAUGUAUUUGAACUACGUUUACGACCUAAUCUCUUCUUUGGAGGGGUACAUAGGAGGCUUGAAUAUUCAAAAUUUGAGUUCAGUCACACCAAAAUAAGGAAUAAAGAUUUUAUUAAAAGUUUGAUGCUAUUACAAUUUUCUUUGUACAAAAAAAAAAAAAUAAGAGAGAAAAAGAGAUACAUGUUUUAUGUAUUUACAAAAAAAAAAAAAAUAUGUUUUUGUAUUAAAAAAAAAAUAUAUAUAUAUAUAUAUAUAAAGGGCCUCAAAAGAAGCCCCUGUCCAAAACCAGAUCAAAUUAGGCCCAGCUCCCGUAGCCUACUAUCUGCCAAAAUUCUUCAAAGCUCCCAAGCCACUCCCACCUCCUCACGGGCCCAACUCAGCACUCGGCUCUUCAAACCCAGAAGACAUCAAGAAGGGCAGUCUUGUGGUGGUUCUGGUGCACCCAUACUCCGUCCUUGGCGGCUGCGAAGGCCUGUUGAGAGGAAUAGCAGCUGGGGUGGCAGACAGAGGUGCCCCAAUUGCAGGCUCCGCAGUAGAUCAGAUAGAACAAGUCGUGGAGCAUAGUGGCUCGUGAAGCACCAAAAAACAUACAACGACAUCGGGGAGGAGGAGAGGAGGUUCGAGAUCUUAAGGACAACUUGAAGUUCAUCGACGAGUAUAACGCACUGGACCAUCCGUACAAGGUCGGUCUGAAUGCUUUCGCUGACCUGAUCAACCAGGAGUACCGUGCCAAGUUUUUGGGCACCAGGAGUGACCCUAAGCGCAGGGUCAUGAAAACCAAGAACCCGAGCCUGAGGUACGCUUUUCGCGCCGGCGAGACGUUGCCGGAAUCUGUGGAUUAGAGACUCAAGGGUGCCGUCAAUCCCAUAAAAAAUCAAGGAGGUUGCGGGAGUUGCUGGGCUUUUUCAACAGUGGCAGCAGUGGAGGGCAUAAACCAAAUAGUGACUGAAGAAUUGGUGUCUCUCUCUCAGAGCAAGAGCUCGUCGACUGUGACACGUCCUACAACGCCGGAUGCAAUGGCGGUCUCAUGGACUACGCCUUCGAGUUCAUUAUCCUAAACGGCGGCAUUGACACUGAAUCCGACUACCCUUAUCAAAGCCCAAAGGAAUCAUCACCUCCGGAGCCCAAAUCUAUGAAAAGGAGCAGCCCAAAAAACCCUUCUUUCCCAAAGCUCUCCAUCAGAGCCUCCUCCUCCGACUCCAACCCGGCGAACCCAACUCCUUUGGCCACUUCACUGCCUCCAUCAGACAUCAAAUUGUGGUCGUCUACUGCCGUUUCUUCCAGAGGGUUCGACAUGCCGGUGAGUCUUUGUCUGUUUACACAAUGAAGGAACUACAGAAAUCCAACUGGAAGAGCAUCUGGAUCCAGAUUCGAAACCGCCAAAGCACGGAAUCAAAAGCAAUGGAGAUUUCCCGCAGGAGAACGGGGGGCACUGCAAUUAAUCUUCACUCAUUCCUUCCACCGUCGCUCGACUCGGACGCCAUUGCAGACACCAUAAAGUCCUUUUUUUCCCAACAAUUGCGGAGAAGACGAUCACUUUCCCUGGUUCGGGGUGGAGUGCUCGGAUGGAAAAGUGGUCAUCCUGAAUUUAAGAGAUAUUUUCGUCUUAGUAGAACGUUGGCCCAUGAUUUAGGAUUUCUUGGUUCCAUAUCUCCUGAACUCCACCAAUUGAAGAUGCUUUUGGAAUGCCAGGUAGAUCAGGAUCAACGACUGACAGUUGCCGCUUUCUGAACGAGCAGAUCUAUCAGCUGGAAGCUCAGGAGGCUCAGUCUCUGAUGCCAAACCAAGUGCCUCUUCCUCUGGAGCGUCAACUGCCAAGGUAUCGACUGACAAGUACCAAAAUUCUGCUGUUGUAGCUGGUGUUAUAACUACUACUGCUUCUCUCGGUUGGUCUCCCAAAGCUAGUCGAAAGAAGGAAGAAGUGCAAGACUGAGGUUGUGACUUGGGUUGGUGCUGCAGGAUCCAUGCUUUCCAUCUUCUCCAUCCUCAUCCUCCUUCAAUCCAGAUACAUAAUGUUGCAAGGCCCCUUCCCAUUUUUGUUGCCAAUAAUGUCACUAGUUUUACGCUUGUGCUUGAGUUCAACAAGAGCAAGCUGCAGAACUUGUACUAAAAAAGGGAUGGGUGCUCCAAAUGUUCAGGAAGCUCCACCGCAAAAAAAAAAAAAAAAAAAAAAAAAAAAAAAAAAAAAAAUAUCUCUGCACAUCCGUGGUGGUCCCUGCCAAGCUCAGCCUGCUCUCCGCCAUCACCUUCUCCGACUGCAUUGCGCAAACCUCCAGCGAGUCGAACAUGGUCCAGUAGUAGUGCAGCGCCUUCGUAAACCGGUCCAAAAAGUUGGGUUUUGUUAUGGUCUGCUUCCUGCUCCACUAACCACCCCUCGUACGUCAACAUCACUUCAUCGUCGGUCCUCCAGCUGCCUGACGACUUGCUGUGCUCGGUGGCUGGCCUCAAUGACAGUGCAAGGAUGACAGGCAGUGCAAUGGUGUGCAGCAGGCAGUGCAAUGGUGCAGCGACGGCGGUGCAGCAAGGACAGCAGAACGUGAGCAACCCGGUUCGAUACAUCUUCUUCUUCCUCUCUACCGUCGGUUUGGUUGAAAGUUAUGGCCCUUCUACUAUGCGAUGAAGUGGGAGAAGGCAGCAAUUCUUUUAUAAAGCCACAAGAGGCAAAGUGGAAUACCCGUGCUUUCCACUUUGCUUCUCCGUCGAAGAAUCAUUCUUCUGGGUUCUCAAGAAUAAAAAAUAAAAAAAAUAAAAAAUAAAAAGAAAGAAAAAGAUAAAUAUAUAAAAAGAGUGAUGGUGCAUCUGGCACCAUGUGAAAGAAAAGAAAGAAAAAAAUAUAUAAAAAGAGUGAUGGUGCAUCUGGCACCAUGAGAAAGAAAGAAGAGAAAUAAAAAAAAAUAUAUAUAAAGAGGAAUGGUGCAUCUGGCACCACGUGAAAAAAAAAGAGGGAAUGGUGGAUCACACCAUGUGAAAAAAUAGAGGGAAUGGUGCAUCUGGCACCAAACAAAAAAAAAAAAAAAAAAAAAGAGAGGGAAUGGUGGAUCAGUCCACGUGAAAAUAUAUAUAUAAUAUAUGUAUAUAUACAUAAAAAAUAUAUAAAAAAUAUAAAAAAAAACAAAAACAAAACAAAUGCAUUGAGAGAAAUAAAAUCUAUUUUUAUUUAUUUCUCUGGAAAAAUUACAUAAAAUUGCAUUCUACAAAAAAAAAAAAAAAAAAAUACAAAUGUGCAAGCAGCAAACAUAAGGGGCCUUCAUUGAUCAGAUGGCGCCUUAUCACUCGGUGGAACUCCGGGAAGAAGAGGAGCCGGAGGUUGAUCAUUUGGAACUUCACUACGCGGUACAGCCCCAGAAGACGAAGGCAAAUGUUGUUGGAACAAACCCACAAACCUCUGAUGAUCAAGUAAAAUCUGACCAUCAGAUUCCUGCAUCUGGUCAAUCUUCCUCUUCAUGUUUGUCGCAUAGCUAUGUGCGAGCUUAUGCAACUGUUUAUUCUCCUGCUUGAGCCCUCUAAUCUCCUGUUUGAGACUCAUCACUUCAGCCGCCAAUGAUUCAACUUGACGGGUUCGAGCAAAUAGGCGUUGGGCCAUAUUAGACACAGAACCUGCACACUGCACACUGAGAGCCAGAGAAUCCUUAACAGCCAACUCAUCAGACCGUUUGGAAAGUAGUCUGUUAUCUCUGGGAGUGACAAGGUUCCGGGCCACCACCGCAGCGGUCAUAUCAUUCUUCACCACUGAAUCCCCAACGGUAAGAGGACCAGUGGGAGAUAUGAAGGAUGGGCGCCAUAUGUUAUCUGGAGAAGAAGGGACUGCCUCUUCACCAAGAUUCAAGUCAAAACGACGAUCGGAGGGGCCAGACAUUUUCAAAGGUGUUAAAGAAAGAAGAGAUCGGACAAAUCAAGCUCUUAGAAGUACAAGAGGGGAGUUUUCACAAGCGAAAAUUCAAGUGUGCUUUGAAACGAACUGCAUGCCUCUAUAAAAAAUCAGCACUCGACGGGAUUUCAGAGAUCGAAGAGGCGAGCUCAGAAUUCGAAGAGGCCAUUCAAAAAUCGAAGAGGCAAGCUCAGAAAUCGGAGAAGCAUCUUGCUUUUCCAGACGCGUCGGCACCCGUCACACGCAAACUCAGCUUUGCGAAAAUCACGGGCAAUUUGUCGAAGCGCCGAUCCCAGAUAUCGAAGAGGCGCCAGUCUUUUUCAGCCACGUCAACACCCAUCACACGCAAACUCAGCUUUGCGGAAAUCACGGAUAAUUUGUCGAAGCGCCGAUCCCAGUUAUCGAAGAGGCGCCAGUCUUUUUCAGCCGCGUCAACACCUGUCACAUGCACACUCAGCUUGGCGGAAAUUACGGACAAUUUGUCGAAGAUUUCUGAUAAAGAAGGAAGCACGUGAAGCCAUAUAGAUCAAUCACGCAUUGGUUGCCGACACGAGUGAAAGAAUAGUACCUCUACAGGUAUCAAAGAACUUCCUAUAAUUGUCUACCUUCGCCUUCCAUAACAAGGGAGACAUACAGAGUCUUUCUUCAUCUCCAAAGAUGCUUUCUCAACGAAGCCUCUCGAGUCAUUCAGUGUUCCUUAUUCCUUGGGGUACCUCUGCAAGCCAAUGACUCCAAAGCAAAAUUAUCUCAUAUCACCAGGGUAGAAAGCAAGAGUAUCUCAUAUCAUGUGUUCUCCCUGUCAUUUCCUUUGUCCUUGUUCUUACCUACAAAGACAAGGAUAAAGAAAACAAUAUGCCGGAACUUCCACUCAAACUCGGGUAAGGAACCGACUGCUUGGAACCCUUCCCUGAUUGCCUACCUAGCACUGCUCUCGAGUACUCGUUUCCCACUGCUGUUGUACUUCCAAAGAAGCUACCACAUCUGCCUGAAGAACAGAUAAGGCAAGUGAAAAUGAUACCUUGCAGCAUGUGGAGACAAGGUGCAGAAGGAACAAGCAGAGAAGAAUGCGGUCUGCACAGUCAACUCAGCAGAAGGAGUCCAAACUGAGGAACUCGAGAAGCUGCCACAUCUGCCUGAAGAAACAAGCAGAGAAGAAUGCAGCAUGCACAGUCAACUCAGCAGAAAGAGUCUGAGAUGAAGAACUCGAGAAGAUGCCGCAUCUGCCUGAGACGGUGAACUUGUUUUGACCCUCAAAUUCUUGGGUCGACUUACUAGGCGUUGUGGGCUGCAUGUGCCGAUUCACCACCCUUGAAUCAAAUCCUUAAAGACCAAGUCACCAAUUGGAAGAGGAGCCCAUCAAUCUCGAAGAUCAUACCGUUGACCAAACUACUCAGGUGUGAAUUAGAAAGAUUGAACAAAGCAACAAGUCGUCACCUUCACCUCGUGCCUGCUUGCCGUGUGUUCGAGUCAGCCUUCAAGAAUCAAGCCUCAACGGCCCUUGAAGAAGCUUCCAGCCAAAUUCAAAAUCAAGCCUCGACGGCCCUGGAAGAAAUCACAAGUCCGAUUCAAGAUUAAGUGUCUACCACCCUUGAAUCAAAACCUAGUUCAAGAAUAAGCUGUGGAAAAUCAACAAUUGGAGGAAUCUAGAAAAUCCUUCAACCCAGUUCAAGAUCAAAGUCGUGGAAAGUCAACAAAGCGCAACAAAAUAUGUGCCGAUUCACCCACUACCAAAGCCAAAGAUCAUCUACCACAUGAAGUUCCUUGUGGUUCAAUUUCAACCUUCAAAAUCAAGCCUCGACGGCCCUUGAAGAAAUUUCAAACAACAAUUCAAGAUCAAGCCUCAACGGCCCUUGAAUCGACAUCUACAGUAAGGGACUUCAAAACGCAUCUCCUACAUGUGACAAGCACAUGUAUACGACGCGCCUUGAAGUGGGGGCAUUUGUAGACAUCGAAAUUUCGGUAAAUAAAUGUUGACCGAUAAAUCAAAGUGUCAACGCUCAUGUAUUACAUAAAUUUUACACGUAGCAUGUGACUCAAUGAAAAUUGAAAUGAGUUGGAAAAGUCAUCAAAUAGGACACGUGUCAACACCUGGCAGAAACGACUUAUUUCAUCUGGGAUAUUAUAUUCAAAAUUAGGCAUUGGAAAUUUAUAAAUAGAAGGCUAAUUCAUUCAUAAGGGGGACCAAUUCAGAUUACACAUUGAAGCUCUGAAGCUCUGAAACUCUGAAGCUCUCAAGCAUCCAGGUUCCCGAAGAAUCAAGAAAGCCUUCUUCGUUCUUCGUUCAUUGCUCUUUCAAGAUCAAGCCCCGACGGCCCUUGAAGAAAGCACCAUCGUUCAUCAUCCGUUCAUCCAAGAUCAAGCCCCAACGGCCCUUUGGAUCAACAAACGUCGACAAAUCCACACAUCCAACCGUUCUUCAAGAUCAAGCCCAAAAGCCCUUGAAGAUCCGUUCAUCACUGUUCUUCAAAGAUCAAACCCAAACACCCUUGAAGAUCCGCUCAUCACCGUUAUUCAAGAUCAAGCCUCAAACGGCCCUUGAAGAAACAUUCAUCCUCAAGAUCAAGCCCCAACGGCUCCUUGAAGAUCCGCUCAAAUCCAACUUCAAAGAUUAAGCCCACGGCCCUUUGAAGAAACUUCCAACUGUUCAUCCAAGAUCAAGCCUCGACGCCCCUUGGAUCAACAAAAUAUCCACAAAUCAACACCUUACGGAGAUCGAAUCAGAGGAUCAAAUUUGAGAGAGAUUGUAACCCAAAAUCAUCAAAUACAAAUAUUUGUUUGUGCGCGUUGUUCUUGUCUCUUUCGUUUCAGGAAUUUUCCGUGUUCACAGUCACUUCUCAUAUUUAUUUAUGAAAAUUUUGUGUUUGCUUAAGAAAUACUAGAUACAUAACUUUAGAGAGUAUUUCUUAAGGUAUAAGUUGUUGGAAAUUCUUUGGUUGUAACAUGAGAUUCGUCUCAAUAUAUUUAUCUCACUAAUUACUUAAUUCACUUAAGCAUGGUUACUCUUACUUGCAAUAAUCUUUCUAAUAGUUUAGCUUGAUUUAGUUUAUAGAUUCCAAAACAAAUUGCGAGUCUCAAGAAGUUGUUUUAGGACGGUAGUAAACGAGAGAUUUGUUAAUGUGUGUUUAAAAUACAAAAUGAAUAUAACAUAUCAUUAUACUAUUAGAGAAACACUUGAAAUAGAUUUUGUCUCAUCAAAAGACAUAAGAUGAAUCACUCGUUAAUAAAAAUAACAACGAUUGACGAGGCUACCCUUUGAUUUGAUUGUGUGAGUCCACCGUUUCCUCUCAUCCCAUGUCCCUUGUAAUAAAGGUUUUCUUGUUGAUCAAGUACUUGUUUGAACUUGGAGCAAAUGUUUCCACUUCUUGGGUAGAGAUUAUGACUACCUCAGUUUCUUGUUGAUCAAGUACUUCUUUGAGCAAUGUUCCAUCGACUGGCAGAACCAAUCUAUAAAAGCAUAGAACUUGUAGCUAAUGGGGCCGUAGCUCAUGAUUACUUUGUGACUUCAUCUCUCAUUCCAAUGCUACAACUUACAACCAGGUAAAUAUUGUUUGAUAAACCCCAUGAUCAAAAUUUUGUUCCAAUAGAAUCGCUAAAUGAGCAGACAAUUGUUUACGCAUGAUUCUUUUAGACGCAUUAAAAUAAGAGGUGUGCUAUCCACACCUCAUUUUAUUUCUCAUACCCCUCUUGAUAAUUUCUGUCCUUUGAUCUUCUUUAAUUUAUCCAAUCCGACGGCUGAAAAUUAAAAAUAUGUGUGAGAAGUAAAAUGGGGUGUGUGGAUAUCACACCCCUAAAAUAAUAUAUAAGUUGUUUUAGGCUUAACAUUUGAGACUUGAAAAGCCCACCAAAGGAUGAGAAAAUCAAGACAUAGGGCCUCCAAGCCAGCAAAAGGAAUUUAGAUAAUAGAGUGCCACCACGAGAAAGAAAGACAACUGCCUUCAACAACUGCAUGUAGCCCCGUCUACCAACAAGAAGAGAGGUGCAUAGAACUUAAAGCACUUUCUGACCGCUCAAGCCAGUUGGCAGGCUUGACAAUUUUCUAGCAUGGAGCUUCAUGACAGGUACGUCCAGACGUCAACUUCGAACCAUGUGUUGGCCAUCGACGAGAAAAGAAAUAUAUGAAGAAAUAUAAAUGUUGUCAAGCUUAGCGCUCAGUCCUUAAUUCUCGUCUAGUUUGUUCACAAAAAACAAAAGGACGAGAUAAAAACGGAUGUGUAGAAAUCAUCCCUAAUUACUAAUUUAGCAUGCUUAUCUUCUCAAUUUUAGAUUCUUUUUUAUGUGUACCAACCAUGUAUCUUCUCAAAUUUAGAUUCUGUUUUUAUCUUCUCAAUUUGGAAUGAUUGUGAGCCCACUUGACAGGGCUUGCAAUUGCAAAGCAACAAGAAGUGAGACGAAUCCAUACAAAUCAAUAACUGAUCAUAUAUCAUCAAGUAGGAUCUUGAAAAUCCAGUCGUUUUAGGUAAAAAGCAUUCCACAUUACAGCAACUGGAGACCCACACACAUGAUCCUCCCCCCUCCUUCCUCAAAAGAUAAAAAAUAAUUUGGCCAAGGCUAGUGAGAAACAGUUAAAAGAAUGAAGAAUAUCAACCAGAAAAUACUUUCCAAC